UGGGGAAUCUUGGACAAUGGGGGCAACCCUGAUCCAGCCAUGCCGCGUGAGUGAUGAAGGCCUUAGGGUCGUAAAGCUCUUUCGCCUGUGAAGAUAAUGACGGUAGCAGGUAAAGAAACCCCGGCUAACUCCGUGCCAGCAGCCGCGGUAAUACGGAGGGGGUUAGCGUUGUUCGGAAUUACUGGGCGUAAAGCGCACGUAGGCGGACCAGAAAGUUGGGGGUGAAAUCCCGGGGGCUCAACCCCGGAACUGCCUCCAAAACUAUUGGUCUAGAGUUCGAGAGAGGUGAGUGGAAUUCCAAGUGUAGAGGUGAAAUUCGUAGAUAUUUGGAGGAACACCAGUGGCGAAGGCGGCUCACUGGCUCGAUACUGACGCUGAGGCGCGAAAGCGUGGGGAGCAAACAGGAUUAGAUACCCUGGUAGUCCACGCCGUAAAACGAUGUCUGCUAGUCGUUGGGGGGCGUAGCCCUU
This 470-nucleotide ribosomal RNA is filed under the name uncultured bacterium. RNAcentral describes it as "bacterial SSU rRNA". It matches the Rfam family "Bacterial small subunit ribosomal RNA", at positions 355 to 840 of the family's 1533-position model. The record is from RNAcentral.